AGCAGGAAAUGGCGGGCGCGAGGGCCUGACGCGAAGACGUGACCCGAGUCCGAAGUCUCUGGAGCCCACAAGGCGCCUUCGUGUGGCAAGUUAAUAAGGCAGCCUUUCCGGGAAGAGGAAGCCGUAGUGAUAACAGCCGACAGCGCGGACCAGCGACUCUGCAAGGAGGACCCGCACUCUGCUAGCCCGCGACUUCGCCACGAAAACGAGGCAGCGGCGGCCGCCGAGGAAGAAGUGGGCGAGCCGGUAACAGCGGGAACCCUCUCAGCAAUCUGCGGCCUGGCCAAACGGAGCCGGACAGCGGCGGCGAUCAGGUACCCU
Camelus dromedarius (Arabian camel) is the source of this 321-nucleotide long non-coding RNA. RefSeq lists it as uncharacterized. The record is from RefSeq and is a predicted model, not a curated record. NCBI's taxonomy places the organism in Eukaryota, Metazoa, Chordata, Mammalia, Artiodactyla, Camelidae. The transcript is spliced from 3 exons.